Molecule: ribosomal RNA, 301 nt
Filed under: uncultured bacterium
Lineage: Bacteria
Description: partial 16S ribosomal RNA
Rfam family: Bacterial small subunit ribosomal RNA
Source: RNAcentral
CAGCCGCCGCGGUAAAACGUAGGGUGCAAGCGUUACUCGGAAUUACUGGGCGUAAAGCGUGCGUAGGUGGUGGUUUAAGUCCGUUGUGAAAGCCCUGGCUCAACCUGGGAAUUGCAGUGGAUACUGGAUCACUAGAGUGUGGUAGAGAAUAGUGGAAUUUCCGGUGUAGCGGUGAAAUGCGUAGAGAUCGGAAGGAACAUCUGUGGCGAAGGCGACUAUCUGGGCCAACACUGACGCUGAGGCACGAAAGCGUGGGGAGCAAACAGGAUUAGAUACCCCUGUAGUCCCUGUCUCUUAUACA